GAGGAACUAGGGAUUUGGCUUCUUCACCAUUCAGAACAAACUCCCUCCUCUUUGUUCCCUUCGACGGCGCCGACAGACUCAACCUCAUCCUCUUCUUCAGACAACUCGUGGCGGCGAAAGACUCAAUUCCUCGAUCUUCCACGUCUCCGAUCGCUAGCAGCCACGCUCAACCUUCGCCCUUGUGACUUCGCUGACUUCUUCGUUUGA
Vicia faba (fava bean) is the source of this 207-nucleotide non-coding RNA. NCBI's taxonomy places the organism in Eukaryota, Viridiplantae, Streptophyta, Magnoliopsida, Fabales, Fabaceae. The record is from the annotation of a GenBank genome assembly.